GAAGUUUCCCUCAGGAUAGCUGAAGUACGUAAUGAAGCUGUUAUAUUCGGUAAAGCGAAUGAUCAGAGGAAUUGUGGUACGAAACGUCUUCAACCUAUUCUCAAACUUUCGAUGAGUCUGACGUCUUGCUUGCUUGAAUGAAGCGUAGACAUUGAAUGUGUGCUCCAAUUGGGCCAUUUUUGGUAUACGAAAAUGGCGCUGUGAGAUGAACCAAACGUUGAGUUGAAGUAUGAAUAUAUAGAAAUUAUCAAUAUUUAAUCACUAUAAUAAGACUACUUAUAAAGUA
Molecule: non-coding RNA, 286 nt
Filed under: Onchocerca volvulus
Lineage: Eukaryota; Metazoa; Nematoda; Chromadorea; Rhabditida; Onchocercidae
Description: Eukaryotic large subunit ribosomal RNA
Rfam family: Eukaryotic large subunit ribosomal RNA
Source: Rfam by way of RNAcentral